CUCUCCCUGACUGACCGUGCCGGCUCUGCCAAGUCACAGUGUUCUGUGGCCUUGCUCAUCAUAGCACAGCGCCUUCAUCUGAGCACUUCUUGCUUUGUUCCUAAGGGGAAGUCCCAAGAAGUUGGGGUCAGGGUCAGGAGAGAAAAAGGGAAUGGCUCACAGUCAUUAUAGAUUCCCGGUGGUGAAUGAUGACCACAGCCCUGGGACAGACGAAGCUCCCAUCCUAAAUACAGGCGUUAAUAGGGCUGAAAUGCACUGACACCCCGAAUCUUAGAUAUUGCCCAUCCUGAGCUCAGAGGACAUUUCCAGUCAGGAGAUAUUUAAUUAUACAUGCAGUUUGCAGGUUCAAAGGGGGCUGAAACCCCAGGCUGUCCAAACUGUGAAGAGGCCUAAAGAUCGAUUAGUCCAAUCUUCUCAUUUGUACUGGAGGGAACCGAGUCUCAGGGAGGUGGAAUGACUUGCGCAACCCUGCACAGAGGUAAAACAGAACAAAGACCAGAACAAGGCUCUGGGACCAGUGCUCCUUCCUCCAGACCAGGCUCCCCAGACCAGGCUAACCUCCUUGGCCAAAGCAAGGAAAACAAGCCCUGGCCCUUAGGCUUGUGAGAUUGGAGAGAAGACCUGAAGAAAAGCAAGACUAAAGGAGAAUCUUACACUCACCUUGGGUUCAGAAGCUAUUUCUGUAAGCUGCAUCAGCUGGACUUGGACCAUAUGGCGGAGGCAGCAUCUACAUUUGAUGAUUCAAUUGACCCGGCGGAUGACUAGAUCGUUUUAAAAGCCCUUUGCGUUCUCGCAGGUCGUUUGUCUAUAUCAGAUGCAAAAGGAAGCGCUGUAGCCACCUCAAAUCGCCCUGGAAUGCUCUCUCAAAUGGGCUGGACUCCGUGAUUUGUCAAGGAAAAUUGGACAUUACCUGGUAAAGUUCUUCCUAAACCAUGGGCCCAGAUGUCUGCUUGACAAAUGUCCCUUAUGCUUGUUUCAAUUUAAAGAGUGUGGUUAAAAGACUUUGGCAUGAUUUAUUUUUUAGUUUGGCGUAUUGGUGGAGUGGAGGGAAGGGGGCAGAAAUUAUAUGGCAAUUUAAAACGUAACAGAUUUUGCUUGGCACUCUUUAGUGGGAAUGUGAAAUCAAAUACAGUAGCAAAGUCAUCUGUCAGGGGCAACUUGCUCUGAGGUCCAAGAGAAACUCCUUAAAAAUCUAUAAGUCAUUGAGGUAAGAAAUAAGUGACAUUUUCAUUCCUUCCAUUCCUCAUGUCUUAGGGAUAUAAGAUGCAAGGAAUGAGAUCUUGACUUGUAAAUCAUGGUGACCAGCUGUUAAAUCUAAGACAAGGCACUAGGUUAGCCUGUGUGUUCAGCUUGGUUCUAGUUUUCUCUCACCCCACUCUCUCUCACCUCCCAGACUUCUCAAGCCCUGUAGGCUUGUUAUACACCUUCAUUUAUCUUGGUAAGGAAGACAUAAUGGAAAAUUGUUAAGGCUUGAAGGAAUUACAAGAAAACGGUCAUCUGAAAGAUUAAACAUAGUCAUGCCUUCUUUUUUGAACUUGUGAUAAAACUUGUGACAAAUGAGGGUGGGGCGAGGGGGAAGGAAUUGAAUUAAACCAGAAAGUUUU
RNAcentral lists this long non-coding RNA (1604 nucleotides) under Homo sapiens (human). RNAcentral's name for it is "HSALNT0089733". Lineage: Eukaryota; Metazoa; Chordata; Mammalia; Primates; Hominidae. The record is from RNAcentral.